GAUACGGCCCAGACUCCUACGGGAGGCAGCAGUGGGGAAUAUUGCACAAUGGGCGCAAGCCUGAUGCAGCGACGCCGCGUGGGGGAUGACGGCCUUCGGGUUGUAAACUCCUUUCGCUAGGGACGAAGCUUUUUGUGACGGUACCUAGAUAAGAAGCACCGGCUAACUACGUGCCAGCAGCCGCGGUAAUACGUAGGGUGCGAGCGUUGUCCGGAAUUACUGGGCGUAAAGGGCUCGUAGGUGGUUUGUCGCGUCGUCUGUGAAAUUCCGGGGCUUAACUCCGGGCGUGCAGGCGAUACGGGCAUAACUUGAGUACUGUAGGGGUAACUGGAAUUCCUGGUGUAGCGGUGAAAUGCGCAGAUAUCAGGAGGACACCGAUGGCGAAGGCAGGUUACUGGGCAGUUACUGAC
This 410-nucleotide ribosomal RNA is filed under the name uncultured Actinomycetales bacterium. Its description in RNAcentral is "bacterial SSU rRNA". It matches the Rfam family "Bacterial small subunit ribosomal RNA", at positions 323 to 744 of the family's 1533-position model. The record is from RNAcentral. Lineage: Bacteria; Bacillati; Actinomycetota; Actinomycetes; Actinomycetales.